GAUCCUGGCUCAGGACGAACGCUGGCGGCGUGCCUAAUACAUGCAAGUAGAACGCUGAAGGGGGAGCUUGCUUCUCUGGAUGAGUUGCGAACGGGUGAGUAACGCGUAGGUAACCUGCCUGGUAGCGGGGGAUAACUAUUGGAAACGAUAGCUAAUACCGCAUAAUAGUAGAUGUUGCAUGACAUUUGCUUAAAAGGUGCAAUUGCAUCACUACCAGAUGGACCUGCGUUGUA
RNAcentral lists this ribosomal RNA (233 nucleotides) under uncultured bacterium. RNAcentral describes it as "partial 16S ribosomal RNA". It matches the Rfam family "Bacterial small subunit ribosomal RNA", at positions 15 to 240 of the family's 1533-position model. The record is from RNAcentral.